UUUGAUUAAGUUUUAGUAUUCUGUCCUAGAUGCGUGUUCCAUCUACGCGACACUGACAGAUAGCUAACAGUCAGAAGUCAGAAAAGGGGC
Sinocyclocheilus anshuiensis is the source of this 90-nucleotide long non-coding RNA. RefSeq lists it as uncharacterized. NCBI's taxonomy places the organism in Eukaryota, Metazoa, Chordata, Actinopteri, Cypriniformes, Cyprinidae. The record is from RefSeq and is a predicted model, not a curated record. The transcript is spliced from 3 exons.